This 468-nucleotide ribosomal RNA is filed under the name uncultured bacterium. RNAcentral's name for it is "partial 16S ribosomal RNA". It matches the Rfam family "Bacterial small subunit ribosomal RNA", at positions 28 to 507 of the family's 1533-position model. The record is from RNAcentral.
GAUGAACGCUGGCGGCGUGCUUAACACAUGCAAGUCGAACGGAAAGGCCCAAGCUUGCUUGGGUACUCGAGUGGCGAACGGGUGAGUAACACGUGGGUGAUCUGCCCUGCACUUCGGGAUAAGCCUGGGAAACUGGGUCUAAUACCGGAUAGGACGAUGGUUUGGAUGCCAUUGUGGAAAGUUUUUUCGGUGUGGGAUGAGCUCGCGGCCUAUCAGCUUGUUGGUGGGGUAAUGGCCUACCAAGGCGUCGACGGGUAGCCGGCCUGAGAGGGUGUACGGCCACAUUGGGACUGAGAUACAGCGCAGACUCCUACGGGAGGCAGCAGUGGGGAAUAUUGCACAAUGGGGGCAAGCCUGAUGCAGCGACGCCGCGUGGGGGAUGACGGCCUUCGGGUUGUAAACUCCUUUCGCUAGGGACGAAGCGUUUUUGUGACGGUACCUGGAGAAGAAGCACCGGCUAACUACGUG